CUAGAGGAAAUAAAGUCGUAACAAGGUUUCCGUAGGUGAACCUGCAGAAGGAUCA
Molecule: ribosomal RNA, 55 nt
Filed under: uncultured eukaryote
Lineage: Eukaryota
Description: partial small subunit ribosomal RNA
Rfam family: Eukaryotic small subunit ribosomal RNA
Source: RNAcentral